This 253-nucleotide ribosomal RNA is filed under the name uncultured bacterium. RNAcentral's name for it is "partial 16S ribosomal RNA". It matches the Rfam family "Bacterial small subunit ribosomal RNA", at positions 524 to 776 of the family's 1533-position model. The record is from RNAcentral.
UACGUAGGGGGCAAGCGUUGUCCGGAUUUAUUGGGCGUAAAGAGCGUGUAGGCGGUUUUACAGGUCCGCUGUGAAAACUCGAGGCUCAACCUCGAGCUGUCGGUGGAAACCGUAAGGCUAGAGUCCGGAAGAGGAGCGUGGAAUUCCUGGUGUAGCGGUGAAAUGCGCAGAUAUCAGGAAGAACACCCGUGGCGAAGGCGGCUCUCUGGGACGGUACUGACGCUGAGACGCGAAAGCGUGGGGAGCGAACAGG